CCCUUAGAUGUUCUGGGCUGCACGCGCGCUACACUGAUGCGCUCAACGAGUUUUAACCUUGCCUGGAAAGGUUGGGUAAUCUUUUUAAAACGCAUCGUGAUGGGGAUAGAUUAUUGCAAUUAUUAAUCUUCAACGAGGAAUUCCUAGUAAACGCAAGUCAUCAGCUUGCAUUGAUUACGUCCCUGCCCUUUGUACACACCGCCCGUCGCACCUACCGAUUGAAUGGUCCGGUGAAAUCUCGGGACGGCGGCUUGGUCGCUUGCGUCCGACUGCUGAAACUUGAUUAAACCAUAUCAUUUAGAGGAAGGUGAAGUCGUAACA
This 321-nucleotide ribosomal RNA is filed under the name uncultured eukaryote. RNAcentral describes it as "partial 18S ribosomal RNA". It matches the Rfam family "Eukaryotic small subunit ribosomal RNA", at positions 1470 to 1796 of the family's 1831-position model. The record is from RNAcentral.